Molecule: ribosomal RNA, 480 nt
Filed under: uncultured archaeon
Lineage: Archaea
Description: bacterial SSU rRNA
Rfam family: Archaeal small subunit ribosomal RNA
Source: RNAcentral
AUUGGCGGGGGAGCACCACAACGGGUGGAGCUUGCGGUUUAAUUGGAUUCAACGCCGGAAAUCUUACCGGGACCGACAGCAAUAUGAAGGCCAGGCUGAAGACUUUGCCGGAUUAGCUGAGAGGUGGUGCAUGGCCGUCGUCAGUUCGUACUGUGAAGCAUCCUGUUAAGUCAGGCAACGAGCGAGACCCACGCCCACAGUUGCCAGCGUACUCUCCGGAGUGACGGGUACACUGUGGGGACCGCCGCUGCUAAAGCGGAGGAAGGAAUGGGCAACGGUAGGUCAGUAUGCCCCGAAUAUCCCGGGCUACACGCGAGCUACAAUGGUUGGUACAAUGGGUACCUACCCCGAAAGGGGAUGGAAAUCUCCUAAAGCCAAUCUUAGUUCGGAUUGAGGGCUGCAACUCGCCCUCAUGAAGCUGGAAUCCGUAGUAAUCGCGUUUCAACAGAACGCGGUGAAUACGUCCCUGCUCCUUGCACA